UACGUAGGUGGCGAGCGUUGUCCGGAAUUACUGGGUGUAAAGCGCGUGUAGGCGGGAGGUCAAGUCUGUCGUGAAAUCGCUCGGCUUAACUGGGCGGGGUCCAUGGAAACUGGUCACCUGGAGGUCGGUAGAGGCAAGUGGAAUUCCCGGUGUAGUGGUGAAAUGCGUAGAGAUCGGGAGGAACACCAGUGGCGAAGGCGGCUUGCUGGGCCGGACCUGACGCUGAGACGCGAAGGCGUGGGGAGCGAACGGG
This 253-nucleotide ribosomal RNA is filed under the name uncultured bacterium. RNAcentral's name for it is "partial 16S ribosomal RNA". It matches the Rfam family "Bacterial small subunit ribosomal RNA", at positions 524 to 776 of the family's 1533-position model. The record is from RNAcentral.